UUUUUAGGGGGUUGGCUCCGACUCCGCCAGGACGGUGCGAGCGGGGCAUGCGCACUGGGCCGGGCGUGCGCGGGGUGCGCGGGGGGGUGCGCGGGCUCACAAUGCCGCCCCACGUGCUGCCCGCGUGGGGAGCGGCGGCCGGCCGGGCGGAGGGGGCGCGCCCGGAGCCCUCCGAGCCCCCCCCCCCCCCGGGCGCCCCGGGACCGCCGCCGCUGUCUCAGUCACCUGGUGGCCUCUAGAAGAAGGUCGUCAGGGGCUGGUACAGACCGUGUCAGGGUUAGGGAUAUUAUUAGACCAUGAGCCAGCAGAACUCUCCAAAAAUCCAGUGGAAG
Lutra lutra (Eurasian river otter) is the source of this 332-nucleotide long non-coding RNA. RefSeq lists it as uncharacterized. The record is from RefSeq and is a predicted model, not a curated record. The transcript has 4 exons. Lineage: Eukaryota; Metazoa; Chordata; Mammalia; Carnivora; Mustelidae.